RNAcentral lists this long non-coding RNA (746 nucleotides) under Pogona vitticeps (central bearded dragon). Its description in RNAcentral is "lncRNA (ENSPVIG00000004028.1)". The record is from RNAcentral. Lineage: Eukaryota; Metazoa; Chordata; Lepidosauria; Squamata; Agamidae.
AUAUAUCUAUAUAUGACUUCAGAACAGACAUACCAAUACACGGAUUGCCUUGUGAAAUUGAAGUUUCUCUUUAAUAAGCCAUCACUGACAGGCAAUUAUUCAGAAAGGAACCGAAGACUGGAUUAUUCUUCCCCAAACUGUAGGAACUGGAAAAGGAUGCAGAAGCUUUAGUGACUGCUUACAUAACUGAUCUCUGAAGUAAAACUGAGUGAGUGAGUAAGUAUAUUAAUUUCUUAGAUGGUGUAGCACAUUGAUUCCAAAAAUAGGAGGGUGCGUCCCUGUAGUGUGACAUGAUGUAACACCAGUAGCAUGACUUUUGGAGAUGAAUUGCCUCAAGUUAAGAAAUCUCCGUAGAUGCAAUCUCUGCUGAUAACAUCUGUAGUGAAAUCUUAAUGUGAGGUAAUUUGUCUCCAAAGUUACACUGCUAGUGUAACGCCAGCUUAACUACCAAAGCUGUAAGUGGCAAUUUUGAUAUGUGUGGCUUUGGUGCCCAAUUGGUUGUCACGUGAAAUUAGCAUAUGGGGGAUAUGAUAGAGGAAAACCAGAGGAAUGCCUGGAUAUGUGCAAUGGUGUCUAGUAUGUGGCCUUAUUCUCAUUGAAACUGCCUGUUUUAUGUUUCCAUCUGCAUAAGGAGGAGGAGUUGGAGGCAGAAUAAGUGCUGGGGUGGCAGGUUCACCUGCAACAGUCUUUGCACCUUCUACAGUUUGGUACCCCAGAUCAAAACCUUAGGCUUCCUGCUCUAGUUA